CAGGCUUCAGCUGGUUACUCCCAGUCGCGCCAUACCAGUCACUCUUCACUCUUUUUCUCAGAGCUUCAAAACCAUGGACGCACCAACCUUCUGAAAUUCUAUGCUCCGACGACAACCGCCAUGCCCAGAUAGCUUCCUCAAAUUCCCUAAAAUCGCAUUCCCGAACCCAAAAAAAAUGAGAUAUUUACGAUUCAUUUCCCCACAUUUUUCCCGCAUUCAAAAUACCCUAAACCCCCCAAAUCCUAAUCCCAUUUCGUCUCUCCAAUCGAAGCCCCAAAUUUUCUCUCAUGUAGCGUGCAAUUACACCACCGCUGUACCGGAGCAGAGGCCGCCGCCGUCCGAGUCGGUAUCGGCGAUCGCGGACGAGAUCUCGGGCCUGACUUUGCUCGAAGUCUCGGACCUCACGGAGGUUCUGAGGGACAAAUUGGGGGUGAAGGAGAUGCCGGGGAUGGUGAUGAUGAUGCCCGGGAUGGGAUUCGGCGGCUUGAGGGGGGCCGGAAAGGGCGGCGCGGCGGCGGCCAAAAGCGAGGAGAAGGCGGAGAAGUUGGUGUUUGAUGUAAAGCUCGAUUCUUUCGAUGCUGCGGUGAAGAUCAAGGUGAUUAAGGAGGUGCGGACGUUUACGGAUUUGGGGCUGAAGGAGGCCAAGGACUUGGUGGAGAAGGCGCCUACGCUGUUGAAGAAGGGGGUUACGAAGGAGGAGGCCGAAUCGAUUGUUGCCAAGAUGAAGGAGGUUGGUGCCAAAAUUUCAAUGGAGUGAGUUGAUCGAACCGGAACCAAAUGAAACUUCAUCGACAUUUUAGAGCUUUUCAUGCUGCAGUCCAUAUCUCAAACAGAUGACAAAGCAUAGCUUUCCAGUUGUGGAUUCCUGCCAUGAUGGUUAACAAAGUGUUUCCAACCUACACUGAUUCCUUGUUUAGGGUCCUCAGACGGGUUCAACAACGGCAAGAUAUGCGUUUCCACAUCACAAUCCUUCAGCCUUAAGUCUCGCGUCGCAUCGGUUUGUGCUAACUGCUUCUCAAAAGGCUUGCUGCAUAUUUGAAUCAGGUGUUGGAUGCUUGGGACCGGUGGGAUAUCAGGAGGCACGUAGUUGACGUUUUUAUAAAAAGAUCCCGGUUCCAGUUUUGGAUGUUCUUGCUGGGCUUGUGGCGCAGGCAGGUUUUUGAAGUUAUCAUUAGGUACAGAGUUCUGAGUUUCAAUGGCUUUUCUGGCUUGCAAGACAUGAGGAGCAGCAGGUAAUUAUCCAAGAAACGGGUCAAGGGCCCACUUCCAACAACACCGAUACUGUUCCCAACUUGCCAAUGUGGGACUCAACAGGAUGGAGUGUCGGAGGCUUGCUACUGGUGGCAGGAGAUGAGGAGGUACAGAAUUUCCAUGAAGCCUACCUAGUCCAAGUUCUUGUUGUUCAGGCAUUCCUUGUGCUGCAACGGCUUCUUGGGCUAGCACGGCAGUGUACGAGGCCGCAGGUUCUUGUCUUGUGAAUGGUGGGAGAUCAUGAGGGACAUUUUUGCGAAUUCCGUAGUGCGAACCUAUGCCUCUUUCUUGUGUCUGUUCGGGCAUGCCCAUGCCUCUUUACUUAUCAUCAAUUUAACAUAUCUUUAUACCA
RNA transcript from Pyrus x bretschneideri (Chinese white pear), 1603 nucleotides. It is a transcript of the gene named 50S ribosomal protein L7/L12, with no coding region annotated. NCBI's taxonomy places the organism in Eukaryota, Viridiplantae, Streptophyta, Magnoliopsida, Rosales, Rosaceae. The transcript has 4 exons. The record is from RefSeq and is a predicted model, not a curated record.